GGUUAAGCGACUAAGCGUACACGGUGGAUGCCCUGGCAGUCAGAGGCGAUGAAGGACGUGCUAAUCUGCGAUAAGCGUCGGUAAGGUGAUAUGAACCGUUAUAACCGGCGAUUUCCGAAUGGGGAAACCCAGUGCAAUUCGUUGCACUAUCGUUAAGUGAAUACAUAGCUUAACGAAGCGAACCGGGGGAACUGAAACAUCUAAGUACCCCGAGGAAAAGAAAUCAACCGAGAUUCCCCCAGUAGCGGCGAGCGAACGGGGAGGAGCCCAGAGUCUGAAUCAGCGCGUGUGUUAGUGGAACGGUCUGGAAAGUCCGGCGGUACAGGGUGAUAGCCCCGUACACUAAAAUGCACACGUUGUGAACUCGAAGAGUAGGGCGGGACACGUGGUAUCCUGUCUGAAUAUGGGGGGACCAUCCUCCAAGGCUAAAUACUCCUGACUGACCGAUAGUGAACCAGUACCGUGAGGGAAAGGCGAAAAGAACCCCGGCGAGGGGAGUGAAAAAGAACCUGAAACCGUGUACGUACAAGCAGUGGGAGCCUACUUGUUAGGUGACUGCGUACCUUUUGUAUAAUGGGUCAGCGACUUAUAUUCUGUAGCAAGGUUAACCGUAUAGGGGAGCCGCAGGGAAACCGAGUCUUAACUGGGCGUUAAGUUGCAGGGUAUAGACCCGAAACCCGGUGAUCUAGCCAUGGGCAGGUUGAAGGUUGGGUAACACUAACUGGAGGACCGAACCGACUAAUGUUGAAAAAUUAGCGGAUGACUUGUGGCUGGGGGUGAAAGGCCAAUCAAACCGGGAGAUAGCUGGUUCUCCCCGAAAGCUAUUUAGGUAGCGCCUCGUGAACUCAUCUUCGGGGGUAGAGCACUGUUUCGGCUAGGGGGUCAUCCCGACUUACCAACCCGAUGCAAACUACGAAUACCGAAGAAUGUUAUCACGGGAGACACACGGCGGGUGCUAACGUCCGUCGUGAAGAGGGAAACAACCCAGACCGCCAGCUAAGGUCCCAAAGUCAUGGUUAAGUGGGAAACGAUGUGGGAAGGCACAGACAGCCAGGAUGUUGGCUUAGAAGCAGCCAUCAUUUAAAGAAAGCGUAAUAGCUCACUGGUCGAGUCGGCCUGCGCGGAAGAUGUAACGGGGCUAAACCAUGCACCGAAGCUGCGGCAGCGACACUAUGUGUUGUUGGGUAGGGGAGCGUUCUGUAAGCCGUUGAAGGUGGCCUGUGAGGGUUGCUGGAGGUAUCAGAAGUGCGAAUGCUGACAUAAGUAACGAUAAAGCGGGUGAAAAGCCCGCUCGCCGGAAGACCAAGGGUUCCUGUCCAACGUUAAUCGGGGCAGGGUGAGUCGACCCCUAAGGCGAGGCCGAAAGGCGUAGUCGAUGGGAAACAGGUUAAUAUUCCUGUACUCGGUGUUACUGCGAAGGGGGGACGGAGAAGGCUAUGUUAGCCGGGCGACGGUUGUCCCGGUUUAAGCAUGUAGGCGG
This 1480-nucleotide ribosomal RNA is filed under the name Klebsiella ornithinolytica. Its description in RNAcentral is "partial 23S ribosomal RNA". It matches the Rfam family "Bacterial large subunit ribosomal RNA", at positions 1 to 1527 of the family's 2925-position model. The record is from RNAcentral. Lineage: Bacteria; Pseudomonadati; Pseudomonadota; Gammaproteobacteria; Enterobacterales; Enterobacteriaceae.